UACGUAGGGUGCAAGCGUUAUCCGGAAUUAUUGGGCGUAAAGAGCUCGUAGGCGGCUUGUCACGUCGGAUGUGAAAGCCCGGGGCUUAACCCCGGGUCUGCAUUCGAUACGGGCAGGCUAGAGUGUGGUAGGGGAGAUCGGAAUUCCUGGUGUAGCGGUGAAAUGCGCAGAUAUCAGGAGGAACACCGGUGGCGAAGGCGGAUCUCUGGGCCAUUACUGACGCUGAGGAGCGAAAGCAUGGGGAGCGAACAGG
RNAcentral lists this ribosomal RNA (253 nucleotides) under uncultured bacterium. RNAcentral describes it as "partial 16S ribosomal RNA". It matches the Rfam family "Bacterial small subunit ribosomal RNA", at positions 524 to 776 of the family's 1533-position model. The record is from RNAcentral.